CCUUUUCAUCAACUAGUUACCCACCUUACACAUGCAAGUAUCUGCACCCCCGUGAGAACGCCCUCCACCCCUUAUCUUAGGAAGAGGAGCCGGUAUCAGGCUCAACAUACAGCCCACGACACCUAGCCACGCCACACCCACAAGGGUACUCAGCAGUGAUAUACAUUGAUAAUAAGCGCCAGCUUGAAUCAGCCAGGGUAAAGCAGGGCCGGCAAAUUCGGUGCCAGCCGCCGCGGCUACACCGCUAGGCCCAAAUUGAUGUACACCGGCGUUAAGCGUGGUUAAAGUGACAAUACAGAUUAGAGUUAAACUUCAACUAAGUCGUGACACGCUUGUUUAAAAGAAACCCAAAAACGAAAGUUACUCCAACCAAUCCACUUGACGCCACGACAGUUAGAACACAAACUGGGAUUAGGUACCCCACUAUGUCUAACCGUAAAAUAUUUACUUACACUACCAACCGCCAGGGAACUACGAGCCCAAGCUUAAAACCCAAAGGACUUGACGGUGUCCCACCCACCUAGAGGAGCCUGUUCUAUAAUCGAUUCUCCCCGAUACACCUCACCACUUCUAGCUUCUCAGCCUGUAUACCUCCGUCGUAAGCUUACCAUGUGAACGAACUUAGUGAGCCCAAAGGCUACUCCACCAACACGUCAGGUCAAGGUGCAGCUCAUGAAUUGGAAAGAAAUGGGCUACAAUUUCUACCAUAGAACAAACGAAGGGCUACAUGAAACACAGCCAUUGAAGGCGGAUUUAGCAGUAAAAAGAAAAUAGAGAGUUCUUUUUAACAAGGCGCUGGGACGCGUACACACCGCCCGUCACCCUCUUCAAAUGC
This 835-nucleotide non-coding RNA is filed under the name Chiasmocleis hudsoni (Hudson's humming frog). RNAcentral's name for it is "Syncope hudsoni (Hudson's humming frog) partial small subunit ribosomal RNA". It matches the Rfam family "Bacterial small subunit ribosomal RNA". The record is from RNAcentral. Lineage: Eukaryota; Metazoa; Chordata; Amphibia; Anura; Microhylidae.